This 200-nucleotide unclassified non-coding RNA is filed under the name Xylariales sp. Its description in RNAcentral is "partial internal transcribed spacer 2". The record is from RNAcentral. Lineage: Eukaryota; Fungi; Ascomycota; Sordariomycetes; Xylariales.
UUAAGUUCAGCGGGUAUUCCUACCUGAUCCGAGGUCAACCAGAUUAUAAUUUAGGGGUUUUACGGCAGGAUAUAGGGCAGCUUCAGGAGCGAGAACAGAAUUACUACGCUCAGAGCAUGACCUAGCUCCGCCACUAAAUUUGAGGAAUUACAGCAGCUGUAAAUUCCCAACGUCAAGCUAAAUAGCGCUUGGGGGUUGAA